AGCUCCAAUAGCGUAUAUUAAAGUUGUUGCAGUUAAAAAGCUCGUAGUUGAACUUCAGGCCUGGCCGGGCGGUCUGCCUCGCGGUAUGUACUGUCUGGCCGGGCCUUACCUCUUGGUGAACCGGCAUGCCCUUCACUGGGUGCGUCGGGGAACCAGGACUUUUACCUUGAGAAAAUUAGAGUGUUCAAAGCAGGCCUAUGCCUGAAUACAUUAGCAUGGAAUAAUAAAAUAGGACGUGCGGUUCUAUUUUGUUGGUUUCUAGGAUCGCCGUAAUGAUUAAUAGGGAUAGUUGGGGGCAUUAGUAUUCAGUUGCUAGAGGUGAAAUUCUUGGAUUUACUGAAGACUAACUAUUGCGAAAGCAUUUGCCAAGGAUGUUUUCA
Molecule: ribosomal RNA, 380 nt
Filed under: uncultured eukaryote
Lineage: Eukaryota
Description: SSU rRNA
Rfam family: Eukaryotic small subunit ribosomal RNA
Source: RNAcentral